This is a long non-coding RNA of Lolium rigidum, 918 nucleotides long. RefSeq lists it as uncharacterized. The record is from RefSeq and is a predicted model, not a curated record. The transcript has 3 exons. NCBI's taxonomy places the organism in Eukaryota, Viridiplantae, Streptophyta, Magnoliopsida, Poales, Poaceae.
CGCCAUGCACCGGCUCGGGCAUAGUGCCGUGCGAGCACCCCUGCUCCGGCCUAGGUGCAGGACCACCCAAGGAUAACUAGCUGUGCUGCCUGUCUUCAUGGUUAUGACAAAUUUGACAUGAAGGCCGGCGACGAGCCGGGUCGACGUUAGACAGAUUCAAGGCUGCCAGGGAGCCUGCACGGCCACCCCAACUCGCUACUGACGGUCAGGCACUGCGUCCUCCCGCUGUUCAGGAUUGACAACUUUGUGAGCUCGACGCCGACGCGGCGACCUCGAUUCCGCUUUCCAGGCCCUUGUUAACUUUGGCCCCAAGAGGUUGAGUUUCUUUCUUUGGUCGCCCUGGAAUACAUUACUGCCAUGCUAUGCAGUAGUGUUAUGUGUGUUGUGUUUUGGGUCAUGGCCUAAGUGCCACGGCCUUGCCUGCAUCUUGUGGUAGCCAUGCACUAUACUUCAAUGUUUUGUGGUAGCUGGUGUUUGCUAUUUGGUAUUAUCAUUUACUUGAAACUUUUAUGCACUGGUAUGUGCUAGUCGUUGUGCCUCCACUUGGGCUAGUUGUGUGAUGGCUUGGUCCGGAUCGUGGAGCGGCUGGAGCUGGUUGAGUGUAGGAAUGAGGAAACAUGUGUUUGGUUUCUAGUAUUAAAGAAUAUACUACUCCUUCCUAUCCAUAGGAAGUGUGGUGGUUUUAGUUGUCUAGUUUGAACUAGAACCACGACACAGUAUUAUGGAUGGAUCGGAGGGAGUAGCAUAAAUGUUGUCUUGUCUUGUACUUUAUAUUGCCUUGCAUGUAUGUUGUGGUUGAAUUGUUUGUUUCUGCUGUGUUAUAUGGAGAUGCAUUGGCUAGUUACGAAAUCUUGUUCUUGUUAUUGAAAUGUGUUGAAGGAUUUGAGUUUGUUUCGGUAUUGUUAUGGUGUUGUAUUA